Long non-coding RNA from Panthera uncia (snow leopard), 604 nucleotides. RefSeq lists it as uncharacterized. The record is from RefSeq and is a predicted model, not a curated record. The transcript has 3 exons. Lineage: Eukaryota; Metazoa; Chordata; Mammalia; Carnivora; Felidae.
AACAAAUUGCCUUACAGCUUCCUGCUCACCUCUGUCAACUUGACUGAAUUGGAUACCCCUGGAGGUUCAUGGCUUUGCCUCUGAUAUAACCUGCUUAGAUGACACUUCAUCUCCAAGGAUGACUUUAUCUCCCCACUGUGCCUAGUGAACUCCUGGAUAAACAGAUCUCAGUAUCAUUGAUUAGUUGUACUUGAACUAAAUACACCUUCACACGCCUGGGAUCUAAAGAGCCAUCAUCUCAACAAAAGCUUUUAAAGGUUUAUCAGAGUGACAGGACAAAAAUAUGACAUAUGUUCAGAAAAUUAAACAGCCUCAUCUUCAGAUCUAAAGAAAUCUGUUACCGGGGUUUCCUGGUCCUGGAAAGGUAAACUGCAAAUUAUGAGGACAUCCUGGUCCGGGCACCUGUGCCUAGAAUGUGGCCGUCAGCUCUCACGAUGAGGAGGUUAAGAGCAAGGGCUCCACAGUCACUAUCUGGGCUCAGACCUCUGACCGGCAGGGAGACCCUGGACAAGGUGCUUUGUCUCUGAGCCUCAGAUUCCUAAUCCACAAAAUGGGGAUAACCUGAGUGAAGAUUAAAUGUGAUAACCCAUUAAAUAUCCUUACA